AUUGAACGCUGGCGGCAUGCCUUACACAUGCAAGUCGAACGGCAGCACGGGGCAACCUGGUGGCGAGUGGCGAACGGGUGAGUAAUGCAUCGGAACGUGCCAUUGAGUGGGGGAUAACGUAGCGAAAGUUGCGCUAAUACCGCAUAUUCUGUGAGCAGGAAAGCAGGGGGACCGCAAGGCCUUGCGCUCUUUGAGCGGCCGAUGUCAGAUUAGCUAGUUGGUGAGGUAACGGCUUACCAAGGCGACGAUCUGUAGCGGGUCUGAGAGGAUGAUCCGCCACACUGGAACUGAGACACGGUCCAGACUCCUACGGGAGGCAGCAGUGGGGAAUUUUGGACAAUGGGCGCAAGCCUGAUCCAGCCAUGCCGCGUGAGUGAAGAAGG
This 383-nucleotide ribosomal RNA is filed under the name uncultured bacterium. RNAcentral's name for it is "bacterial SSU rRNA". It matches the Rfam family "Bacterial small subunit ribosomal RNA", at positions 30 to 414 of the family's 1533-position model. The record is from RNAcentral.